UGUAAGUAAAUUCCGUUCUGUGCCCUAGGAAUCGCGCGCCAUGGAAAUUGUUUUCAAAUGGUGUUUAUUCUUUCGUAGUCAGGACAAUAGAAAAUUUGGAAGUUGACUUAUUGCGUCCCUAUUAUUUAGAAAAAUAGCAACCUGUCAAAAUUUACAACAAGAAUGACAUAGUUACUUGUUUCUGAUUGAACGUUUCCAUUUACCAUAGCAGUAAUUAUGAACCCGACUACAAAGGGAUAAUUCACGGUACGCAGGCGUAUAUAAACAAACUGCACUGUUGGAAGACUUCAAUACACCUACCUCAACAGGACUUCGACAUAUUUCCUACAAGUUUCCAGGCGCUUCAAUGAAACUACAGAACUUCUGUUUGAACUUGUGUGUGGAACAUCGAAGACAGAAGCCAAAAACUUACCUCUCAAUUAAUGUUCGUGUAGGUUUUAUGGUCGAGGGUGGACCAACCGGUCGUAACUGGCCCUAAUAAGAAGUAUAUUUGUUAAAUUUGGAAGAAGUGCCAGUGCAAUAUUAUUGGAACAACAGGAAAUGACUAUAAGAGAAUGUUUACAAAAGAAAACAUAAAUCGACGGUAUCUCUGCAGCGUCCCUCUUCUUGCGGACUACGGUGAAGAGAACCCCUCUCGAACCUGUUUGCGCCACCUUCCACUGAGGAUGCUGGAUGAGUAACUGUUUGCCGAUGAUGACAGCUUUACUCGUUACUUGGUGUUUCCUCUCAGUUUUUGUUACUGCUAAAAAUGACCUCACUUCACAAAAUUCAUUAAACUCUGUUUUGCUCCGAAA
Photinus pyralis (common eastern firefly) is the source of this 794-nucleotide long non-coding RNA. RefSeq lists it as uncharacterized. The record is from RefSeq and is a predicted model, not a curated record. The transcript is spliced from 2 exons. Lineage: Eukaryota; Metazoa; Arthropoda; Insecta; Coleoptera; Lampyridae.